RNAcentral lists this ribosomal RNA (484 nucleotides) under uncultured bacterium. RNAcentral describes it as "partial 16S ribosomal RNA". It matches the Rfam family "Bacterial small subunit ribosomal RNA", at positions 30 to 507 of the family's 1533-position model. The record is from RNAcentral.
AUUGAACGCUGGCGGCAGGCCUAACACAUGCAAGUCGAGCGGAUGAAGGGAGCUUGCUCCUGGAUUCAGCGGCGGACGGGUGAGUAAUGCCUAGGAAUCUGCCUGGUAGUGGGGGAUAACGUCCGGAAACGGGCGCUCAUACCGCAUACGUCCUGAGGGAGAAAGUGGGGGAUCUUCGGACCUCACGCUAUCAGAUGAGCCUAGGUCGGAUUAGCUAGUUGGUGGGGCAAAGGCCUACCAAGGCGACGAUCCGUAACUGGUCUGAGAGGAUGAUCAGUCACACUGGAACUGAGACACGGUCCAGACUCCUACGGGAGGCAGCAGUGGGGAAUAUUGGACAAAGGGCGAAAGCCUGAUCCAGCCAUGCCGCGUGUGUGAAGAAGGUCUUCGGAUUGUAAAGCACUUUAAGUUGGGAGGAAGGGCAGUAAGUUAAUACCUUGCUGUUUUGACGUUACCAACAGAAUAAGCACCGGCUAACUUCGUG